This is a long non-coding RNA of Rhinopithecus roxellana (golden snub-nosed monkey), 8707 nucleotides long. RefSeq lists it as uncharacterized. The transcript is spliced from 3 exons. Lineage: Eukaryota; Metazoa; Chordata; Mammalia; Primates; Cercopithecidae. The record is from RefSeq and is a predicted model, not a curated record.
CUCCCGAGUAGCUGGGAUUACAGGCCUGCAUCACCAUGUCCAGAUGAGAAAACUGAGACACGGAGACAUUGAAGUGACUUGCCCACAGUCAAAGAAGUAAGAAAAGGCUGAGCUGGAAAUCAAACCCAGGCUCAUCUGCCUUUGGAGGCCUCAUUCUCAAAGACUGCCUCCUACACUCAGGAACAGUCUGAGUCCCAGACAAAUCAGGCCAGCUGUCACUCUACCUGGGAAGGAGAAUGCGGACCGCUCAGAGGAAGAUCAGUGUCAAAAUCAAGAUCAAACAGGUUGGUCUCAGGACAGAGCACAAGGGCUGGGCUGAGAAUGGACUGGAGGUGACAACUCUAUAUCUGCUAUCAUCUUUACUCUGAGUUGUCUGCAUAAGAAAAUUCCUCACCCACUAGUAAAGUAGAUUUCUGGCUUCUGAAUGACCAGGUGCAUGGAAUCAAAUGCAGAACGACAGUCAAAGGGGAAGAAUGCAUGCACAAGAAUCCUUGGGCAGCAUCAGCAGAAUUGAGGACAAGAAAGACGGGAGCCUUAUUUUGAAGGUCCUGCUCUUCCCCCCACAAUUAUAUCUACAAAUAAUGAUCUGAAAGAGACUGGUAGGACAGGUACAGGCCUCUUACAGCUAAUAGGAAAAACUGCUCUGCCACUGCUGUAACCCACAUGUAAGUGAUCACAAGCAGUUAAACACUGAGCCCCUGAAGUCCAAACUAACAACUUCCAACCUCACUUCAGUGGCCAGAGAUACAUAUGACAGUAGGAGAUGGUCGACAGCUCUGGAGGAGGAAGCACUAAGUCAUGGAGGAGGGUCUUCCACACAGCAAACAACCUAGAGUCACUUUGCCUACCCAAAGCAAGGGAAGUUUGAGGAACUGCUCCUGUCAUAGCACAGAGACAAUGACAUUUCUACAGCAGGCAUUCUGCAGGAAACUUACCAGAAGCUAUCAUUAUCUUUAUUAGAAAGUCACAACUCAGGCAUUUUACUGAUUUGGAAAAGAACUGGCAAAAACAGACAAACAAAACAAAGCAAAUAGGAAGAAAACAAGAAUAGCCAUGCAGACAAAAUUGACACAAGUCAUGCAAAUUGAGAAGGAAGUGAAUAUACGGCAUUUGGAAGCAUAAAGUGUAAGAAACAGAACAUGACCAGUCAACUGCAGAUCAGCAUGCGUGCUGUGAGCCAGGAACAGACACUGGGCAGGAAAGGAGGUAUCUGCAGACGUUGUAAAGCCCGUAUGUCUAAAGAAAAGAAUGAAGAACUAAACUUAACCAAGACAAACAAAACGCUGGCACCGCUGGCUGUGGUUUUCACCAAUGACUUGAUUCAAAGGAGUUGGUAUCAGAUCUCCAUUAUAGCUGAUGUCCAUUACAAUAAUGAUAAAAUGGUAAUUACUAGUGUUUAUAAUGCACUUACUAGAUACCAGCUCUUAUGCUAAAGUUUGACAUAGAUCAUCUUCUCUUAUCCUCACGAUAACUGCAUGAGUUAGCACUAGGAUUGCACUCAUUUUACAGUUGGAAAACCUGAGGACCAACGUCACACAGUGACUGACUGAUGAUACUGGGAUUCAAAUUCAGACAAUCUGGCCCCAAAGUCAGCUUUUUAACCACUGUGUGAUAGCUGGCUCAUUCCAUUAUGGUUAGUUUACACUUUGCCAGAAAAUUCUUUUUGUAAACUUUAUAAAAUUAUUUUAAAAUAUUAAAAAGUAUUCACAUCAGACUCAGGAACUCUAUAUCGUACUGCUUCCUCUUUCACUUUGAAACUCCAAACCAACAAGGAAGCAAAUGGUUCAGACACUAUAGGCCAAAAUUCCAGCAGUGGGGUAUGGCCAGCCCCAUCCAGAGCUGAGAUCCAUGUGUGCAUGUUUUGGGGGUGGAUGGGUAGUAUGGUGUGGAAAGGAGACAGUGCAUCAGCUGUCACCUUAGUUAGUCACAGCUUAAGGAGAAUAGAUGGUGGUAGCAAAGUUGAGCAUCACUUUCAGAAAGGUGGAGAGGUGGUAAGGGGUGCUCACAGCAUGAGAUGCACAGCAGGGCAAUGCUGCUUAAGUACCUAUCACAUACAGGUGAGCAAAUACAUGUUUUAUGAUGAGUAAAUCAAUGAGUGAACAAAAUGAAAUGACUGGUCUGAAUGUACUGAAGAUUCCAUAAUUUUAUGUAACUCUAGGGAAAGAAUAUGAGUGGUUAUGGGAUUGUGUUUUACUUUAUGAACUAAAAGAAAUAACUUUUAACAUUUUAAUAUUCCUUGAACCCUUCUUAGAUAUUGCAAUGCUCAGUCACUACUAAAAAGUAUAAAAUCUGAAGCUGAGCAGUGGUGGCUCAUGUCUGUAAUCCCAGUACUUUGGGAGGCUGAGGCAAGAGGACUGCUUGGGCCCAGGAGUUCGAGACCAGCCUGGGCAACAUAGUGAGACUCCCCCAUCUGUAUUUUUAAAUAAUAAAAAUUUUUAAAGUAUGGCAAUUAUUUGUAAUGAACACAUAAACUCUGAUCAAAGACAAAGACUAAAAGUAUGCUAAUCAAAUGGGCAUUAGAAGUUGUGACUGAGUUUCCUGGCAGCCAAGACAAAGAGGAGAACACAGCAAGUUGCACUCCUGUCUUACUAGAAAGGAGGAAGCACUGUAGUCCCUCAAAGAAGACAAAGUUAUUUUCUGAGCACUGAAUUCCCAAGUAACUUUCUCACAUAGAGUUAUACAUAGAAGCCGCUGGCAUUGUCCAUUCUUCCUUCUCAUGUUUCCAGUACAAUUAGGAGCAGGUUUCAUGAAAUCAUUACUUGCAGGAAAGCUAUAAACUGAGGAUCUAACAUUAAAAGACAACUCAGUGAACCCUAUUCUGUGAGCAUAGCAAGAUAAUGUAAUCCAAGUACAGCUUCUAGUCUGAUCGGAGGUUGGAAAUGAGACUGUCUAUAAAGAAAGGAAACAGAUGUUUGCUGAGCACCUAACAUAUGUCAUAUGCAUGAAAUAUUUUCUUCCUUUCGGCAUAUGUGUUACUAGUCUCAUUUGUAGAAGCUAAGCAACUUGCCCCAGCUUCACUGCUGUUUAAAGCAGAGUCCCAAGCUCAUGCACACUUUCCUAUAUCAUAUGUCCUCCUUUCUUUCACAAUUUUAUCAGGAAGAGUCAAUGGACAAUUUAGCCCCUUUCUUUGGGCAAUUUGAGGUUAUUCUCCCCAGUGAGGGCCUAGAGUGCUGGUGUUACAUACCUUAUGAAGAACAACUCAUUUUGUUCAAAAGCCAAAGGAUCAGUUAGUUGUGGGGUUGACUCAUAUCUCCAUGUUCAGAAAUCUUCAUGGCUCUUAUCUCAAAGGAAGUCCAUAGUAUUGACAGCUGUAAACUUCUCUGUUUAAAUGGCCUGGGAAAGGAUUAUUAUGCUCUCUUUUCAGUGAUCAGAAGAACUAGAGACUCCCCGUGGACGAGAUGUUUACACUGCGACCAAAGCAUGGGUAGGAACUGGGUGGUGGUAAGGGAGACUCAGAUGGACAGAGGGCUCCAGGCAGAUGAGAAAGAGCUGGAAGCUGCAGAAGGGAGGACAUGGCUGAAGUCUCCGGUAUGCAGCAGGGGAAGGGAAGGUGACAAGAGAGAGAUGGGCAGGUAAGCAGGGCCAGAUCAUAAAGACUCUCCGUUUAAUUCCUUCAUGCAGAGGUUCUGUACAUAGUAUAAAGCCUUCUGCUUCUCCAAAAAAGCAGGCACAAUGUGCAGGAAAAUCACUGUGAGAAAGACAGCAAGUCUGGGGCGCCCUCAAGAACAUCUGCACCUAGAUCUUAAGGAAGGUGAAUGGUAGUGAUGGGAACAGGGGUGUGGGGUCAGAAUUCCUCUUAAGCACUAUCUGGGGCUCCCAUAGUUGUUCUCAUCACAGCACCUCUCUCACCGCUUUGCAGUUGUCUCUGCCCCCACUGAACAGUAUGCCCUGCAGGACUCUCUUCAUAUUUCAUAUUUAGCUCAGCUUCCUGGCAGCCAAGACAAAGAGAACACAGUAAGUUGCACUCCUGUCUUACUAGAAAUGAGGAAGCACUGCAGUCCCUCAAAGAAGACAAAGUUAUAUUCUAGAUCUGGCAGGCCUAUGGGUAUCUUUUUUUUUUUCCUUUGCAAAGUGACUUUUGGUUUUUAAACAAGCUUUCAAAGAGAAAAAGGAUGAUGAGUAAAGCCUAACACAAGAAAUGUCAAUUAUUUUCUCUCUUGGUAACUUUCAUAUCUCAGUUCCUGUCUGGGGACUCUACAAAAUUUCCAUGCCAUCCUCUGUGACAGAAUCCCCACAAUCUGCCUGUGCCUCGCUGUGGCUCUCCGUCAUGCUCUUCCAGGUACUAUUUGGUCUCAUUUGCUGUGGCCACAAGUGGGACUUUGCUUCUACUCUUUCCUCCCUCCCAUCUCUUGUAUCUUAACACAAGUUCAGACCACUUGACCUGGGUGCACCUUCAUGCAAGAUUCUUUCCUCAAGCUGCCUUGUGUGUGAUAGGACCAUUUUUAUCAACUUAUUUCUCUCAGUUGGUCCGAGCAUCUUUCCAACACCUCCACAGUGGGUCUUACUCAAAAGGACCACAUUCCAGCUGCUGGAGUCCCCAUAGAGUUCUCCCAUUGGUUGCUAUAUGAAGAUGCUUCAUAACUGUGAGGUGUGAGACAGGGACAUGGCAGCACUACCAUUAAUGAAGUGACUUAUAGUGAUGUACACCCAUGCCAGGGCCAUUGGGCAUCUUAACCCUGGCCUAGUUUCAGACACAUAGGCACCAAGAGCCACCGAGCUAGUCUCUGCCAAUCCAAGUGCACAGUCUCAGACAAAGUACAGAAUCUAAGUUGAUCUCAUCUGGCAUGUACAGAGGGAAUUUUGUGCAUGAGUGGGUAUAAAACCAGGCCCUACCUUCCCAUCACCACUUAGGUUGGUCCCCACUCUGCUGCUGCUGCAGAAGGCCCAGAGGUGACAUCAGUCCAUUUUCUUCAAAUGGCCAGAAGGCUGUUGGCCUGGACAGCAGGAAGCAUGCACUUCGUGGAGAGAAUUUAAUUUAUGCCUAAAUGUUAAGUCAACAGCAACAUAUGGACAGACAUUUUUACUUAAACAACCAAUAGCAAUGUAACCUCUGCAUAAAAACAGAGUGGGCCCCGGAAGGAACCGCUCCCUUGUGUAACUGUUCAGUGUCUAAUGAAGGCCGUGUUCAUAUUCUUUUUUUUUUUUUUUUCUUGAGACAGAGUCUUGCUCUGUCGCCCAAGAUGGAUUGCAGUGGCAUGAUUGUGGCUCACUACAACCUCCGCCUCCUGGGUUCAAGCAAUUCUCCUGCCUCAGCCUCCCAAGUAGCUGGGAUUACAGGUGCCCGCCACCACACCCAGCUAAUUGUUUGUAUUUGUAGCAGUGACUCUACUUGCAUGUGUGGGGACCUUUAUCAAUCAGGGAUUGGGGGCUACUCAUGGAAAGCAAAGACUUUGGGCACAGCAAACAGACCACAUUCAGUCCAUAACCCAGGCUGGUCUGGUUAGCAUAUGGUAAGUUUGGUAAUGAAUUGUAAAGAAAGCUCUCACCACUUUCUGAUGUUCAGAAAGCUGAACAUCAAACAAGCACAAAUCAAUUCACCAUGUGCUAUAUAGUUUCAGGAUUCUCCAGCCUGGGGAACCAGCAUUUCAGUGUUCAAAUAAGGCAUAAAAUGUGCUCAAGUAGACUGACCUGGUCAUAUUGGGAAGCCAUGUAACUCUUUCAAGAAAGCCCUGUAACCUGAGACUGGAGGUCCAGAAAGUCUGGACCUGUCCUCCAGUGAUGACAAUUCAGUUAAAAAGGCACAUAAAUUAACAAGCAAAAUAUUUGAGUAACUGCGUGAAGGCAGUGAAAAACUGUCAUAAUUCUAAAACUGAAGAUGAUAAAGGAUCAAAGGAAGAAGUGUGCGCUCUUGGCUCCACCUCAAGUCAAGACUGUUUUGCUCUGCAUUUUCCUUUUUCUUCCAACCCCUAUUCCCACCAGGAUCAAUAGGUCAGGUGCAGGAAGGUCUGUGACUUUUUUUCAUCACUGCAUGAAAAUCUGUCAGACUCACGGUAGUGGACUCAGGUGAGUCUGCCAUCCAGCAAGACCCUCUUCAGCUCUGCGAUGGAAGUACAGUGGAGAGUCCCUCCCCUCGCUCUCAGAGACUUUCACUUUCACUCCAGCUCACAAGAUUCUGCGGAAACUGGAAGCAUAGCUCAUCAAAAAAAGCUGGGGCCCCUUUCCUGGGUCACAUUCUGGGGCAGUGUCUUGCUAUUUCACCAAGUGCCAGUUCUAGUGUCCUUCCUAAGCUAUGGCCUGGCUCCCUGAGGACAGUCUCAAUAACAGCCUCCAAAAAAUUGAGCUACAGAGUGAAUCAUGAGUUAAUAUUUGUGUUCUAGUCCCAGGUGACCUUAUAUUCCACGCUUUUGGUGAUCAUCUACUUCAGGAGUUCUCAAUUAGAGAAGAUAUUACCCUCACCCCCAUCCCCAAGGAACACUUGGCUGUAUGUAAAGACAGUUUUAUUUGUCACAACUGGUAGUGGUAGGGGGGUGUUACCAUCUCCUAGUAGGUAGAGGCCAAGGAUUCUGCUAAACAUCCUAUAAUCCACAGGACAGGCCCCACAACAAAAAACUAUCCAACCCAAAAUGUUAAUCGUAUCUAGGUUGAGAAAACAUUAAAACCACAGAUUGUCAGCUUUCCUGAAAUAACUCCCAGUUCCACAGGUCUUCCCAAUAGAGGUAAGUUUCUUUGAUAUAUUGGUAAGCCAGUUCCUAUAGUUACACCUGGACACAGGAUGCUGGAGAGGGGAUUGGAAGUCCUAUGACUGAGUCGGGGGCUCUCCCCCAUCAGAGGACUCAGCUUAUGGUCUGAAUGCUAGUUCAUGUGACACUUAUAAAUGCAUCCUACUAUAGCCCAGUCCUUCAGGGUAACAAACUUGUAGAUAGCAUGGGUAAUGACAAGGGCUCCUCUUUAUUUCAUUAUGUCUUUAUUAUUAUUUUUUCAUUAAGUAAUACUAAAUCACAUCAUCUCCUUGUUUUUGUUGGCUGAAACAUUCAUUCAGCCAACAAAUAUUUAUUGUGUGUCCAGUUAAGUCCAAGCACUGUGCUCUGUACUAAAUGGCUGAUAACUGUCUGCUGGGGCUAGUGAACACAGACCACAGUACCUACAGCAGGAGUUCUUCCUUGGGUGAAGAUGAAAGUGGGGGGUGCUUGUUGAAAUGCAGGAUCCUGGGCCUUCCUCCGGAGAUUCUGAUUUUGUAAGGAUGGUGCCAAGAAAUCUGCAUUUUUAGCCAGCACUUGAUGUAAGUCUGAUAUAGGUUAUCUAUGGGACCAUGCUUUAAGAAACAUUGGUAAAAAUCAUGAAAUUUGCUCAAUCAAAUCCCAGGCCUGAGUAUAUGCAGUCUUGAGCUGUAGUGUGGUAAUUUCCUAUAUCUGUGAAAAAAAAUCAUUUAACUAUUAAUUGUCUCAACUUUCUCAUUUUUUAAACCAAAGGAGUGUAAGACCCUAAUAACCUGUGUUCAAACACAGGUGGAGAGAGGGCAGAAUGACCUCAUUUAUGUAGAAGCAGGACACUUUCAAAGGAACAGAACCGUAUAAUUUGUAUGACAUAGAUUGAGCAUUAGCCAAGUACAUUUGUAUCAAUGAUAGGAGGAAAAUCUCUUGCUUAUGUAAGAGGUACGAACACUAUCUUUUCUCUGAACUGACCUCAGCAUACAAUCAUUCAUAGCUUGAUUAGGGAACGCUAAUCUCCCCUGGUUAUCAAGAUAAAUGGCUUCUCUGAUUACUGUUUUCUUUCAAAUCCUUUCUCAGACCUACAUCAUUAAUGUUCCGCUUGUGACUUUUCAAUGGAGCACUUAUUUUAGCAGCACACUUAACCCCUUUAGGGGUUCAAAUCUAAAACUUGCUCAAGCAAAAUUCUUCCAAGCUGUUAGAAACACCUUAAUACUUAUCUAUGUCUAAUAUCAAGGAAGUUAUCUCAUAUAUGGCCGAGAUACAUAAAUGUAGGCACUAGUUUUCAGCCCAAUUGCUCUGCCGUGAAUUACUGUGACCAAUUUAGCAAUAGAAGAAAUCAAUAUAAAGAACUUUAUAACGAAUAUAUAGAUUAAACUUAAUGUAUCACUAUCAUCAUUAGAAGGACAGGGUAAGGAUUAAAGGACAGACUAUCUCAGAAAAUAUGCCAGUCUCCCUUAAAAUAAUAAUAAAUACAUCUGUUUUCCAACUCAUCUAAGAAUUCCCUCCCAUUCUGUUCCUUUAAUUAUAUCUUUAUUAUGUAAGGUCUUUAUUAUACUUUAGUACUUUUUUAUGUUCCUGUCUUGUUUUUGUUGUCUACUUUUUGCUACAAAUAAUACACCUUGACUCCUGGGCUCACAAAACAGAACACCCAUUGAAUUUACUUACAGAUUGAGCACCUCAAAAGACUCUAGUCUUUGUGCUCCUGUUCAGAACCAUUCGAAAUAUGGAUGAGUUUCCAAACAGGAAGGAAAUGGAAUAUGCUAAAAACUCACAGUUUUGUGUGUAAUCUGUAGCCUUAAAUCAUCCGAAGUACCCCAGAUCCCGUACACCAAGGAGUUCCAUCCCACUGUUUUGUCCAAAUGAAAGAGAACCCCCUCCCAGCAUUUUAGAACUUGGACCUGGCAUGCCAACUUAAAUGCAAAUGGUCCCUCAAACUCAGAUUUGCCGCGAGAUCCAUUUUUAAGUAGACUAUGCUCCCUGCAGACCAACAUGCAAAUGGUGCUCGAGUAUACGUAAGAAUCACAGAGGCAACAAAGAAAAGACACCAACCAUACCUA